RNAcentral lists this ribosomal RNA (301 nucleotides) under uncultured bacterium. Its description in RNAcentral is "partial 16S ribosomal RNA". It matches the Rfam family "Bacterial small subunit ribosomal RNA", at positions 509 to 809 of the family's 1533-position model. The record is from RNAcentral.
CAGUCGCCACGGUAAUACGAAGGGGGCUAGCGUUGUUCGGAUUUACUGGGCGUAAAGCGCACGUAGGCGGACUUUUAAGUCAGGGGUGAAAUCCCGGGGCUCAACCCCGGAACUGCCUUUGAUACUGGAAGUCUUGAGUAUGGUAGAGGUGAGUGGAAUUCCGAGUGUAGAGGUGAAAUUCGUAGAUAUUCGGAGGAACACCAGUGGCGAAGGCGGCUCACUGGACCAUUACUGACGCUGAGGUGCGAAAGCGUGGGGAGCAAACAGGAUUAGAUACCCCGGUAGUCCCUGUCUCUUAUAA